RNAcentral lists this ribosomal RNA (472 nucleotides) under Pseudomonas migulae. RNAcentral describes it as "bacterial SSU rRNA". It matches the Rfam family "Bacterial small subunit ribosomal RNA", at positions 313 to 785 of the family's 1533-position model. The record is from RNAcentral. Lineage: Bacteria; Pseudomonadati; Pseudomonadota; Gammaproteobacteria; Pseudomonadales; Pseudomonadaceae.
CUGGAACUGAGACACGGUCCAGACUCCUACGGGAGGCAGCAGUGGGGAAUAUUGGACAAUGGGCGAAAGCCUGAUCCAGCCAUGCCGCGUGUGUGAAGAAGGUCUUCGGAUUGUAAAGCACUUUAAGUUGGGAGGAAGGGCAGUAAAUUAAUACUUUGCUGUUUUGACGUUACCGACAGAAUAAGCACCGGCUAACUCUGUGCCAGCAGCCGCGGUAAUACAGAGGGUGCAAGCGUUAAUCGGAAUUACUGGGCGUAAAGCGCGCGUAGGUGGUUUGUUAAGUUGGAUGUGAAAUCCCCGGGCUCAACCUGGGAACUGCAUUCAAAACUGACAAGCUAGAGUAUGGUAGAGGGUGGGGAAUUUCCUGUGUAGCGGGAAAUGCGUAGAUAUAGGAAGGAACACCAGGGCGAAGGCGACCACGGGACGAUACGACACGAGGGGAAAGUGUAGCAGAGGGGGAGGGGGUAGGUCC